UUGCCUCAGUAACGGCGAGUGAAGCGGCAAGAGCUCAAAUUUGAAAGCUGGCUCCUUCGGAGUCCGCAUUGUAAUUUGCAGAGGAUGCUUUGGGUGCGGCCCCCGUCUAAGUGCCCUGGAACGGGCCGUCAGAGAGGGUGAGAAUCCCGUCUUGGGCGGGGUGUCCGUGCCCGUGUAAAGCUCCUUCGACGAGUCGAGUUGUUUGGGAAUGCAGCUCUAAAUGGGUGGUAAAUUUCAUCUAAAGCUAAAUACUGGCCGGAGACCGAUAGCGCACAAGUAGAGUGAUCGAAAGAUGAAAAGCACUUUGAAAAGAGAGUUAAACAGCACGUGAAAUUGUUGAAAGGGAAGCGCUUGCGACCAGACUCGCCCGCGGGGUUCAGCCGGCAUUCGUGCCGGUGUACUUCCCCGUGGGCGGGCCAGCGUCGGUUUGGGCGGCCGGUCAAAGGCCCCUGGAAUGUAGUNNCCUCCGGGGUACCUUAUAGCCAGGGGUGCAAUGCGGCCAGCCUGGACCGA
RNAcentral lists this ribosomal RNA (513 nucleotides) under fungal endophyte. RNAcentral describes it as "eukaryotic LSU rRNA". It matches the Rfam family "Eukaryotic large subunit ribosomal RNA", at positions 75 to 592 of the family's 3401-position model. The record is from RNAcentral. Lineage: Eukaryota; Fungi.